CGUAACAAGGUCUCCGUUGGUGAACCAGCGGAGGGAUCAUUACCGAGUUUACAACUCCCAAACCCCUGUGAACAUACCAAUUGUUGCCUCGGCGGAUCAGCCCGCUCCCGGUAAAACGGGACGGCCCGCCAGAGGACCCCUAAACUCUGUUUCUAUAUGUAACUUCUGAGUAAAACCAUAAAUAAAUCAAAACUUUCAACAACGGAUCUCUUGGUUCUGGCAUCGAUGAAGAACGCAGCAAAAUGCGAUAAGUAAUGUGAAUUGCAGAAUUCAGUGAAUCAUCGAAUCUUUGAACGCACGUUGCGCCCGCCAGUAUUCUGGCGGGCAUGCCUGUUCGAGCGUCAUUUCAACCCUCAAGCCCAGCUUGGUGUUGGGACUCGCGAGUCAAAUCGCGUUCCCCAAAUUGAUUGGCGGUCACGUCGAGCUUCCAUAGCGUAGUAGUAAAACCCUCGUUACUGGUAAUCGUCGCGGCCACGCCGUUAAACCCCAACUUCUGAAUGUUGACCUCGGAUCAGGUAGGAAUACCCGCUGAACUUAAGCAUAUCA
This 546-nucleotide ribosomal RNA is filed under the name uncultured fungus. RNAcentral's name for it is "eukaryotic LSU rRNA". The stretch from base 191 to 344 matches the Rfam family "5.8S ribosomal RNA". The record is from RNAcentral. Lineage: Eukaryota; Fungi.